This 253-nucleotide ribosomal RNA is filed under the name uncultured bacterium. Its description in RNAcentral is "partial 16S ribosomal RNA". It matches the Rfam family "Bacterial small subunit ribosomal RNA", at positions 524 to 776 of the family's 1533-position model. The record is from RNAcentral.
UACGUAGGGUGCAAGCGUUAAUCGGAAUUACUGGGCGUAAAGCGUGCGCAGGCGGUUUUGUAAGACUGUCGUGAAAUCCCCGGGCUUAACCUGGGAAUGGCGAUGGUGACUGCAAGGCUAGAGUUUGGCAGAGGGGGGUAGAAUUCCACGUGUAGCAGUGAAAUGCGUAGAGAUGUGGAGGAAUACCGAUGGCGAAGGCAGCCUCCUGGGCCAACACUGACGCUCAUGCACGAAAGCGUGGGGAGCAAACAGG